GGGCCCGCACAAGCGGUGGAGCAUGUGGUUUAAUUCGAUGCAACGCGAAGAACCUUACCUACUCUUGACAUCCAGAGAAGCCAGCGGAGACGCAGGUGUGCCUUCGGGAACUUUGAGACAGGUGCUGCAUGGCUGUCGUCAGCUCGUGUUGUGAAAUGUUGGGUUAAGUCCCGCAACGAGCGCAACCCUUAUCCUUGUUUGCCAGCGAGUAAUGUCGGGAACUCCAGGGAGACUGCCGGUGAUAAACCGGAGGAAGGUGUGGAUGACGUCAAGUCAUCAUGCCCCUUACAUCCUGGGCUACACACGUACUACAAUGCUACGGACAAAGGGCUGCAAGUUCGCGAGGACAAGCAAAUCCCAUAAACCGUGGCUCAGUUCAGAUCGUAGGCUGCAACUCGCCUACGUGAAGGCGGAAUCGCUAGUAAUCGCAGGUC
This 434-nucleotide ribosomal RNA is filed under the name uncultured bacterium. RNAcentral describes it as "bacterial SSU rRNA". It matches the Rfam family "Bacterial small subunit ribosomal RNA", at positions 917 to 1350 of the family's 1533-position model. The record is from RNAcentral.